Molecule: long non-coding RNA, 1557 nt
Filed under: Triticum aestivum (bread wheat)
Lineage: Eukaryota; Viridiplantae; Streptophyta; Magnoliopsida; Poales; Poaceae
Description: long non-coding RNA (TAES_LNC004615)
Source: RNAcentral
GACACCCACCUGGGAGGCGAGGACUUCGACAACCGGAUGGUGAACCACUUCGUGCAAGAGUUCAAGAGGAAGAACAAGAAGGACAUCAGCGGCAACCCGAGGGCGCUCCGGCGGCUGAGGACGGCGUGCGAGAGGGCGAAGAGGACCCUCUCUUCCACCGCCCAGACCACCAUUGAGAUCGACUCGCUCUACGAGGGGAUCGACUUCUACGCGACCAUCACCCGUGCCAGGUUCGAGGAGCUCAACAUGGACCUCUUCCGCAAGUGCAUGGAGCCCGUCGAGAAGUGCCUCCGGGACGCCAAGAUGGACAAGACCCAAAUCCACGACAUCGUGCUCGUCGGAGGCUCCACCCGGAUCCCCAAGGUGCAGCAGCUCCUCCAGGACUUCUUCAACGGGAAGGAGCUCUGCAAGAGCAUCAACCCCGACGAGGCCGUCGCGUACGGCGCCGCCGUCCAGGCCGCCAUCCUCAGCGGCGAGGGCAACCAGAAGGUGCAGGACCUGCUCCUGCUCGACGUGACGCCGCUCUCGCUCGGGUUGGAGACGGCCGGAGGCGUGAUGACGACCCUGAUCCCGAGGAACACCACCAUCCCCACCAAGAAGGAGCAGGUCUUCUCAACCUACUCGGACAACCAGCCCGGCGUGCUGAUCCAGGUGUACGAGGGCGAGAGGACGAGGACCAAGGACAACAACCUGCUGGGCAAGUUCGAGCUGUCCGGCAUCCCGUCGGCGCCCAGGGGCGUACCCCAGAUCACGGUGACCUUCGACAUCGACGCGAACGGCAUCCUGAACGUGUCGGCGGAGGACAAGACGACCGGGCAGAAGAACAAGAUCACCAUCACCAACGACAAGGGGCGGCUGAGCAAGGAGGAGAUCGAGCGCAUGGUGCAGGAGGCGGAGAAGUACAAGUCGGAGGACGAGCAGGUGCGGCACAAGGUGGAGGCCCGCAACGCGCUGGAGAACUACGCGUACAACAUGCGCAACACGGUGCGGGACGAGAAGAUCGCGUCCAAGCUCCCCGCCGACGACAAGAAGAAGAUCGAGGACUCCAUCGAGGACGCCAUCAAGUGGCUCGACGGCAACCAGCUCGCCGAGGCCGACGAGUUCGAGGACAAGAUGAAGGAGCUGGAGAGCAUCUGCAACCCCAUCAUCUCCAAGAUGUACCAGGGUGCUGGCCCGGGCGGCGCGGCCGGCAUGGACGAGGACAUGCCCGGCGGCGGCGCGGGCACCGGCGGUGGGAGCGGUGCCGGGCCCAAGAUCGAAGAAGUGGACUGAGUGAGUCGUGACAGGUCCUGGAGUGGUAGUGUGUUCUGUUGCCUGUGGUCGUGUGUGGUUCUGUCGAAUAACGAGGACGCUUGUAUGAGUGUAGUUAUUAAUGAUGUAGUACUAGGUUAGUAGAGGAAAUGAUAAAUAAUGUGUAAACGCAAGAACGACAUACACAUGUGGUUCUUGUACUACUAUGUUGUUUUUGCCUGAGUUCAGGAGAUGAAAAAUAUGUUCGUUGUCCUUGAUUACCGAAAAAGGGUUUGCCCGCUUUAUAUUACCACAAACAGUUCACAA